Caenorhabditis elegans is the source of this 21-nucleotide non-coding RNA. The record is from Ensembl. NCBI's taxonomy places the organism in Eukaryota, Metazoa, Nematoda, Chromadorea, Rhabditida, Rhabditidae.
UAGUCGAGAACGGAACUUCAA